Small nucleolar RNA from Hemiscyllium ocellatum (epaulette shark), 216 nucleotides. RefSeq annotates it as small nucleolar RNA U3. The transcript has a single exon. The record is from RefSeq and is a predicted model, not a curated record. NCBI's taxonomy places the organism in Eukaryota, Metazoa, Chordata, Chondrichthyes, Orectolobiformes, Hemiscylliidae.
AAGACUAUACUCUUAGGGAUCAUUUCUAUAGUUUUUUCCUAGAGAAGUGGGUUCUUGAGUGUGUGGUUUCACCAACCAUGAGGAGGAUUAAUAGUGUUCUCUUCUGAGCAGGAAGUUGGCAGUGAGUGUUGCUUUUAGUAGUUGCCUAUUGCCAUUGAUGAUUGUUCCUUCUUUCUUGUGGGGAGAGUUGGAGGAAGAGAACACAGUCUGAGUGGU